Molecule: long non-coding RNA, 482 nt
Filed under: Ananas comosus (pineapple)
Lineage: Eukaryota; Viridiplantae; Streptophyta; Magnoliopsida; Poales; Bromeliaceae
Description: long non-coding RNA (ACOM_LNC026516)
Source: RNAcentral
CAUCCUCACUUGAGUUAUUUUCAAUGGAACUAAAAACUAAAUUCUUUUCAAAAUUUUCAGUAGAGGAUUUAUCUAAUUUAUCUACUCUCUCAUUCUCCUCAUCAUUUCUAACAUUAUUAGCCCUCGUGUAAGCUUCACCCUUAUCUUCCCUCUCAUUUCUAAUAAAAUCAACCAUUAUAUAAGCUCUACCAUCAUGAUUAGCCUCUAUAUGAGCUCCACCUUCAUCUUCAACACCAUAUUCUUUCUCAGCUACACCUUCAUCUCCAACAGCAUCCUCUAUCUCAGCUACACCUUCAUCUCGAACAUCAUCUUCUUCCUCGGUUACAUCCUCAAUUCUAACAUCAUCUUCUUCCUCGGUUACAUCCUCAAUUCUAACAUCAUCUUUACUCUCAAUUUCACCAUCAACUCCAAUAUCAAGUUUUUCCUUCUUCCCACCAUCAACACUAUUAUCACUAUCAUUAGUACCACCACCAGUAGGAUCA